UCUUGACAAACUUACAUGGAUAACUGAGGUAAUUCUUGAGCUAAUACAUGCACCAAAGCUUUGACCGUAAGGGAAGAGCGCAUUUAUUAGAACAAAACCAAACGGCUUCGGCUGUUCCCAGUUGAAUCAGAAUAACUCAGCUGAUCGUACGGUCUUGCACCGACGACGUGUCUUUCAAGUAUCUGCUUUAUCAACUUUCGAUGGUAGGGUAUCUGCCUACCAUGGUGGUGACGGAUAACGGAGGAUCAGGGUUCGACUCCGGAGAAGGGGCCUGAGAAAUGGCCACUACGUCUAAGGAUGGCAGCAGGCGCGCAAAUUACCCACUCUCAGAAUUUGGAGGAGGUAGUGACGAGAAAUAACGAGGUUGAUCUCUUCUGAGGCCAACCAUCGGAAUGGGUACAAUUUAAACCCUUUAACGAGUAUCUAUGAGAGGGCAAGUCUGGUGCCAGCAGCCGCGGUAAUUCCAGCU
This 469-nucleotide ribosomal RNA is filed under the name Nematoda environmental sample. RNAcentral's name for it is "SSU rRNA". It matches the Rfam family "Eukaryotic small subunit ribosomal RNA", at positions 124 to 590 of the family's 1831-position model. Lineage: Eukaryota; Metazoa; Nematoda. The record is from RNAcentral.